CAACGAUACCAUUGGCAUUUGGCAAAAGCAGAGCUCCAGGCUCAUAUUUCUGAAGGUUUGAAUGUGUAGCUGUAUAAAGCUAUGUUUUCUGUGGAUCUAGCCCAAAGGUUUCUGGGCGUGAUCCUCCAACACAUCCUGCUGUUAUUCAGACGGGAAAGAUUUUGGAUGAAACCAGUUGCCUAUCUGGCUCGUGUCACACUUUCUUAGAAUUGAGACCCCACAAAAUGAAGCCUAAUGUUUUCUUGUGUGCUAACGAGGAGCUUUAGCCAAGCAAAUGGCCUUGUGGUAAAAUCUCAGUAGAGCCACUCUGAUCUUUCUUGGCUUUUUAUUGUGUGUAUACUGGGAAUGCAGCAAGUUCAAGGACUAAUGUGCCACUUUCUGAGCACAGCACUGCUUUUGGCUGGAUUUUUCUAGUUGGAAGGCUGAUCUUACCCCGUAGUAAAUAUAAUUAGCACCAGUAGAGGGAGCCAGUUUGACCUGAGUCUGCUUUGACCUGAGCAAAGUGAGAAGAUCAUGUUUGAUGCUACAUGUCCGACACUGACCUCAUCCGUGUUGACCCCUCGAAGAGCCACUGAAAGGUCAACGUGCUUGUCCAUGUCUUCGCUACAAACACUUUUAAACAGAGUCAGACAAGAACUUUCACACACACCACAUGAGUGUGUGUGU
Long non-coding RNA from Ictalurus punctatus (channel catfish), 666 nucleotides. The record is from Ensembl. Lineage: Eukaryota; Metazoa; Chordata; Actinopteri; Siluriformes; Ictaluridae.